GGACAUAUGAAUCUUUAGCGCAUCUGGCACGUAAAUAUCUUGCGACAUGGGCUACAACAGUGCCAUGCGAACGCCUGUUCUCACUUUCAGGUGACAUUGCGAAUCAGAAGCAGGCAGCAUUAUCUACUGAAAAUCCCUGUAUCAUGACCUGCUGAAAUUUCAAUCCAACAUCGAGGUAUCAGAACAGAGAUGUGAAAAACCCCACAUCCAAAAUGGAGUCUGCAGCCUGACACAGACUCCUCUCCAUUGUGAAAAAUAAUGGGAUAAACAGCCAACCUAUCAGGCCGAAUUUAAAUCAUAAGAGGCUUAUUCACCAGAAUGGAAAACUCUGACAAGCAAUUUGUGUCAGCCUCAUUCAGCAUGUCAAUAGAAGACCUAUGCCUCACCAGAACUAAACACUGACAAACAGGCGGGAUCUGGAACCCCAGAUUUUAAGCUAAGAGGAGUUCCCUGAAGAUUUGAGGCUUGUGUCUUGAGCACAGCCAUUGCUAAUGCACAGGGAAUAGUGUCAGUGCAAUCCAGGGGUUAUUAUUCACAGCAUUGUAACACAGUGCAUUCUGUAACGAUUAACUAGUAGGUUUUAAAAGUGGGUCAGUGCACCCAGAAAAUUCACACCAAACUGCACUUCCUGAACACACAUAGGCAGACUUGUCAAAAUAUUCUCAUCAGCUGAGUAAAUUUUUGCUGGGAGCAAAAACAACAGCCUGGAAAACCCAAGUGCCCUGCAAGCUAUCAAUUAGCCUUUACAUUACAAUAAACUUGUGUCAAAGAGAAAUUACUUCCAUGUUGUGUAAAGAAAUAUUGCUCUGCUUGAACUUAGAGAAAGGUAUAGCUUAGAAAAAAUCUGUGGAGACAACUCCAAUCUCCUCUUUAGAAAGAGAAAUAUUCUUGGCUAUAUAAUCAGGAUAAUUGGCUCAUAUGAAAAAUUCAACAACAAACUAAGAUUUGCACUCCCCCACAAUGAAACAAACUGUGCCUCUGAACAAAAGGUACCUGCAGCGAGACUCUUCUGCUUUUUCUGCUUCAGAACUGGGCUCUUGUUCAGAACAAUGCUACAACAUAUGCUUAAUUUUAAAGCACACAAGUAAGUCCCAUUGAAGUCAAUGGGACUUGACUAUGGGUUCCCUUCCCAGCCCUCUCUGAUCCCCUUUUGGGGUUAGUAGCACUGACAGCUGCACUGGCUAGGAGCAAUCCUUGCACCUAAACUUGCUCAAGGACUGCAGGAGUGGCCAGCCUUUGUGAGGGGGUGCAAAUUGAUGGGAGGAGUCAGUCAGCCAGUAGACAGAUACUGGGCUUCAUGGACCUUUGGUCUGACCUGGUACAGCCAUUCUUAUGUUAUGUUCUUAUGAUGAGAUGAUGUGCACAACAAGUUUAUUGUCCUACAAAGUCCAGGAACAAAGCUGCAUGUUCUUGCACACUGGCACCUGAUCUAGUAACUAGCUCUGACCAUGUAUGCAGCUAUUAAUCACUGAUGUAGCAGGCAAAGAGAGUUUGCUAAAGCCAUCCAGACAACUACUUGCUGGGAAAGUUGGCUUUCCGUAGCUGUAGUGUGAAAACACCUAUAUGUGCCUGAUGCAUCUUUGUGCCCAGUAAGAGUUAUGUUUGUCCAAAAAGAUGGAUGGAAGUUUUGGCUCUAACCAUCAGUUCUGGGGUUUCCCCCACCAAAUACAAGGGGAGUUUACACACUUUUCAGGAAUGCCAGAGGUUUCAUUCACUUUCUAGAAUAAACAGCACCCAGCUAGCUCCAGAGACCAUCAGCUGGGUAAGACCUCUCUGACUGCUUCCAAUUCUUCACAUCUUUCAUCUGAUUCACCGCUCUGUUUGUCACGUGCAGCACACUAGGGCCCAAUCUGGUUUUGUCACACCCAUUGCAUUGUACAAAGCAAAGAAUGGGUUACUCUCCUUCCAGGAGAUUUUACAGCUGUAACAGAGACCCUGAAGUAAUGAUGGUGGUUUGAUAGUUUGAUAAAUAAAUCCAAUAUAAUUCAUGCAAAUUACUAAUGCAGGUUAAAUAAAUUAUUCCUUUUUAUUUACCUGUUGAGGUAGAUAUGAGGAAAUCUCACUCAGCGGAAGUUGCAGCAUUCUGUGAUCUCUCUAAGUGAAAUUAAAGGCAUGUCACAUUCCGAUUUGUCUAGUGAGGCAUGCCGCAGUCCAGGUGAAAUGUCACAGCCAAAAAGCCAGCCUGGGAAAUGUCCUUAGUUUAACAGCAAGGCACACCACAUGCCUCUAAAUGAUGCAGGCCUAACUGUGAAAUGGUGCAAUCCAUAUUGAUUGGCUAUAUAGUACUACUGAGCUACAAGCCAUUUGUAAUUAAAAGAGCUUUAAAUAAGGUAGGAAGGGUGUGUGAAGUUUCUAAAAGGUAUAAUAUAUUUUCUGUUCAUGCUAUGUCUGUGGUGGCUUUGGGGCUUGUAAUUUCAGCAAAAGAUUUUGAAUUUGUCACAUAAUUCUAAUCUUGCUAACUCUGCCAAAGUCUCCAGUAAAGAAGUGAAUUGGAAUUAAAACUGGCUGAAAUAUUUCACCAAAACUUUUUUUUUUUGCUCUGAAAAAUGCAGAUUCAGUUCAACUGAAACUUUUUG
This is a long non-coding RNA of Gopherus flavomarginatus (Mexican gopher tortoise), 2576 nucleotides long. RefSeq lists it as uncharacterized. NCBI's taxonomy places the organism in Eukaryota, Metazoa, Chordata, Testudines, Testudinidae. The transcript is spliced from 4 exons. The record is from RefSeq and is a predicted model, not a curated record.